UUUUUUUUUGAGAUUUUGCUUAGUAUGCCAACGGAUGGACUGUUGUCAUCAUUCGCUAAAUUAACUAAUGUUGGCUUGGCCCUUCCUGUGUGUAUAUCAGUAUUAUUAUUAGUAUUAUAUUAGUAUUAUUACUUUAAAAUUUCUAUAACUAGACAUUUCUGUUUAUUCAAACACAGAGUUUGAAUAAACAUGCUAGCCAGCUUAUUGAAUACAGUACAAUUAAUAAUUAUUGUAUGCAUGUUUUUAUUCAGGGAAUAUAGUUAGAAAUAUAAGUAAAACUCUUGAUAUUUAGUAACAGCACCCAGUAGUGCUAAUUUUCUUCGGCCCAGUUUUUAAAAUACACAUUAGGGUAAAUUAGUUUGCAUCUUUUGUUUACUUUUUUUUUUUUUCCCCACAGUGAAAAUGUUCCUUUUUAUGUACAAAAAAUGUGUCACAAUAGAAAGCUGUGCCCAUGCUCUUCUGGUGUGAACCUCACCUUAAUUACAUGUGACGUGUAUGUGGCAGUGCAGGAAGUGUGUUGCAAAGAAGAGUUAUAGGAUGACACUAUACAUACCAGAAGAACCUGUGUCAUCAAGUCUCUGUGGACCUACAUGAAAUGAAGACCCUGAAAAACUAGUAAAGGCAUAUUUGGAUUAAGACAUUGACUCAUAAAGUUCCAGGGAGCAAACUGUGAUGGGAGUGUAUGACAUACUAAAGGAGGGAGCGCUGCCUGACGAUGACAUUGGACAAUGGUGUCCGUAUUGAAGGUGUGGAAGUCCUAAGUGACUUAAGUAGCAUUGCACAGGCUUGUGCUCUGUUAUUUGGACUGAUGCACUGUUUGAACCUGAGCUAACCACCAGAGCUCAAAUGCACUUUUGAAUUCUUGCGGAAGAUCUUUCUAAAUGGACAGAGGUUGUCAUCCAAGGCACAGUUCCUCAAAAACAAUAUCAAUGUUUGUUUUUUGUUAUAAAUUCAUGUUCAUUCUUGUUUGUUUUCAAAUGUUACUUUUUUGUGUGUCAGGUCCAGGUUUACCUUACAAAUUCAUGAAAAGGGUAAUGUUAAAAUUGUUAAAAUGGCUUAAUUUUUAGAAGUUUUAAGUCCAAAAGGGCAUUAAGGUCCUACAAGCUUGGGGAUCAGUUUUCUCAAGAGCCAAGAUUUUGUUGGCUAAAUGUUUCUUCUACACUGUGUUACAAAAACUUAAAUGGAUAGGAGACUUAAAUUGAAGAAAGCAGUUUAAACUUGAUGUUAAAGCUGAA
Long non-coding RNA from Labeo rohita (rohu), 1235 nucleotides. RefSeq lists it as uncharacterized. NCBI's taxonomy places the organism in Eukaryota, Metazoa, Chordata, Actinopteri, Cypriniformes, Cyprinidae. The transcript is spliced from 4 exons. The record is from RefSeq and is a predicted model, not a curated record.